This 253-nucleotide ribosomal RNA is filed under the name uncultured bacterium. RNAcentral describes it as "partial 16S ribosomal RNA". It matches the Rfam family "Bacterial small subunit ribosomal RNA", at positions 524 to 776 of the family's 1533-position model. The record is from RNAcentral.
UACAGAGGUCCCAAGCGUUGUUCGGAUUCACUGGGCGUAAAGGGUGCGUAGGCGGCCGGGUAAGUCUGUUGUGAAAUCCCGCAGCUCAACUGCGGAACUGCAGUGGAAACUACCCGGCUCGAGGAAUGGAGGGGAGACUGGAAUUCUCGGUGUAGCAGUGAAAUGCGUAGAUAUCGAGAGGAACACCAGUGGCGAAGGCGAGUCUCUGGACAUUUCCUGACGCUGAGGCACGAAAGCCAGGGGAGCAAACGGG